GUUCCAAAGCUGCAGAUACCACCGAAGCAACCCGCACAAAGAAACUGGCAAAUAUGUUUGCUUGUGGGAGGAGGAGCCAGAGAACAGAUAGCUCAGAGGGUGGGUGUCGGGUUAGCCUAUAAGGGUGGAGAAAGGAGGUCCUUACAGACUUUGGUAUGGUUUUGCUGUUAUCUUCCUGUCUGCCUGACUCUGCAGUUGGCACUAUUCCCAGCAGCUUCCUGUUUAGUUUAGUUUCAUUUCUCGCAGACUGGCUAGGAGGGUGUUGUUUCUGAAGCCAUGGCAGAGGCAGAGGAAGAAUUCAGAGCAGCUGCUGCCCUGGAAGAUGAGCUCACCUGCCCUAUCUGUCUGUGCUUCUACAGCAACCCUGUCUCCCUGAGCUGCCAGCACAGCUUCUGCAAGGAGUGUAUCCAGAAAGCACUGGCUGCCCAGCAGCAAGCCAAGGCCACCUACUCCUGCCCUAUGUGCAAGGUCCAGCUGGGGCCCUUUCUGGAGCUGCAUAAGAACUUCCAGCUCUGCAGCAUAGUGGAGACGUUCCAGACGGCUUCUUCAAAGGGAAAGAAGGGCAAGGAGAAGGCCUCUCCGCAAGGGAAGGAGACAAUCCCCUGUGAUUUCUGCCUGGAGCAGCCUCACACAGCAGUGAAAACCUGUCUGACCUGUGAGGCAUCUCUGUGUCAGGCCCACCUGAGCAAACACAAUGCCAAGGCUGCACAGAAGGAUCAUGUCCUGGUAGACCCCAGUGACAACAGCUCCCUGCAGGAGAGGAAGUGUGGCAAGCAUGGCAAGCUGCUAGAGUGUUACUGUGAAGAUGACCAGGUCUUCGUCUGCAUGAUGUGCUCUAUCGCAGGCUCCCACAAGGGCCACAGCGUCAUCUCCCUGAAGGAGGAGUAUGACAAGGAGCUGGUUGUUCUCUCUGACAGUGUGAAACUGAUGCAGGAAAACAAAAGUGCUAUGAAUAAAACCUUAGGGGAGCUUCAGAAGAGUGAGAAUCAGCUCCAGCUCAAUAAGAAAACUUUGAAUGCUCAGCUGUCAAACCUCUUCAAAGAGAUCAAGGCAGCGGUGGAUCAGAAGGAGAAGCAGAUCCUGGCUCACAUACAAUCCAGUGAGAAAAAGCAGCUGUCAGAGAUUGCCACACUGAAGAAGCAAACAGAAAAGAAGAGAGAUGAGGCUGAGAAGGGUCUUCAGGACCUGCAGAUGCUGAGAGCGCAAACAGACCCUUUCCACUUCCUCAGAGAAUUUAAACUGGCACAAGACAGGAUUAAUAAUCAGAAUUUCAGGACUGACAGCAUGGAAGUAUUACCACUGCAGCUGGAUCAGGCAACAAUUGCUGAUGUUAGACGCUGGACACAGCAGUAUAUCUCAAACCUAGAUUCACAAAUGCAAGAAGUGCACAGUAAGUAAACUACCCAAACGAGUAACAGAACAUUACUGGUCUGUAGUGGAAAAUGGCCACCUUUUAUCAAGGACUGUGCAAUAGCUCCCUGAUUUAUUCAACUGAGCAUUGCUUGUGUGCUGCAAAUUUUGAUCCUUCUCCAUAGAGGCCAGAGUGUGGAUGUCUGCCAUCUGCCAUGGCGCCCUGUCCCCUCAGCCCCUCCCCGCAACCAGUUUCCAUCUGCCCCAGCAUUCCAAACCUCACCCUCUGUCAGACCUUUAGGGACCACCCCAUGUGUUUGCCCAGUGGACCCAUAUUUUCAAAUCUGCCUCUGAUAAUGGGAUCAAGACCCCACAGCAACACAUUCCAAAUGACUGUUUAUAUUGUGAAUACACUGCCAGCCUUCUAAGACAUUCUCUCAACCCUUGCAGGUCAGUUCAUUAACCAAACACAGAGGAACAGAGCAGCUCCAUUGAUAUACAGAGUACCUCCAUACUCCAGAGAUGAUUUACUUUAUCAAGGUAAUCAACACUCGCAUUUCUUCCAAAAUCAAGCAUCUGGUUUUUUUCAAACUACCCCAUUUCCAUGGAAAUAGACUGGGAACACAAGGCAGUGAAUGCAGAACAUACAACGAAAGGAAAGGAUGUGGUGUCUGAAAUAGUGGUUUCCAGCAUGGUGCAUUAUUCCCAGAAGUAAUAAAGAGACAUGAAAAAAGUUGGGGAAACUGAGACCAAAGAGAUUAAAUUCAACAUUU
Molecule: RNA transcript, 2123 nt
Organism: Terrapene triunguis (Three-toed box turtle)
Lineage: Eukaryota; Metazoa; Chordata; Testudines; Emydidae
Gene name: E3 ubiquitin/ISG15 ligase TRIM25-like
Exons: 8
Source: RefSeq, a predicted model, not a curated record